Molecule: ribosomal RNA, 433 nt
Filed under: uncultured bacterium
Lineage: Bacteria
Description: partial 16S ribosomal RNA
Rfam family: Bacterial small subunit ribosomal RNA
Source: RNAcentral
AACGAACGCUGGCGGCAUGCCUAACACAUGCAAGUCGAGCGAGACCUUCGGGUCUAGUGGCGCACGGGUGCGUAACGCGUGGGAACCUGCCCUUAGGUUCGGAAUAACUCCCCGAAAGGGGUGCUAAUACCGGAUAAUGUCUUCGGACCAAAGAUUUAUCGCCUUUGGAUGGGCCCGCGUUGGAUUAGCUAGUUGGUAGGGUAAAAGCCUACCAAGGCGACGAUCCAUAGCUGGUCUGAGAGGAUGAUCAGCCACACUGGGACUGAGACACGGCCCAGACUCCUACGGGAGGCAGCAGUGGGGAAUAUUGGACAAUGGGCGAAAGCCUGAUCCAGCAAUGCCGCGUGAGUGAUGAAGGCCUUAGGGUUGUAAAGCUCUUUUGCCCGGGAUGAUAAUGACAGUACCGGGAGAAUAAGCUCCGGCUAACUCCGUG